RNAcentral lists this transfer RNA (85 nucleotides) under Felis catus (domestic cat). It matches the Rfam family "tRNA". Rfam says of the family: Transfer RNA (tRNA) molecules are approximately 80 nucleotides in length. Lineage: Eukaryota; Metazoa; Chordata; Mammalia; Carnivora; Felidae. RNAcentral also lists the same sequence under 2 other names. The record is from Rfam by way of RNAcentral.
GCCCGCGUGGCUCAGUCGGUUAAGCGUCUGACUUCGGCUCAGGUCAUGAUCUCACGGUUCGUGGGUUCGAGCCCCGCAUCGGGCU